This 890-nucleotide ribosomal RNA is filed under the name Exosporium stylobatum. Its description in RNAcentral is "eukaryotic LSU rRNA". It matches the Rfam family "Eukaryotic large subunit ribosomal RNA", at positions 52 to 959 of the family's 3401-position model. Lineage: Eukaryota; Fungi; Ascomycota; Dothideomycetes. The record is from RNAcentral.
GGAGGAAAAGAAACCAACAGGGAUUGCCCUAGUAACGGCGAGUGAAGCGGCAACAGCUCAAAUUUGAAAUCUGGCCUCUUUGGGGGUCCGAGUUGUAAUUUGCAGAGGGUGCUUUGGCGUUGGCUGUGGUCUAAGUUCCUUGGAACAGGACGUCGCAGAGGGUGAGAAUCCCGUAUGUGGCCGCCAGUCUUCGCCGUGUAAAGCCCCUUCGACGAGUCGAGUUGUUUGGGAAUGCAGCUCUAAAUGGGAGGUAAAUUUCUUCUAAAGCUAAAUAUUGGCCAGAGACCGAUAGCGCACAAGUAGAGUGAUCGAAAGAUGAAAAGCACUUUGGAAAGAGAGUCAAAAAGCACGUGAAAUUGUUGAAAGGGAAGCGCUUGCAGCCAGACUUGCUUGCAGUUGUUCAGCCGGGCUCUUGCCCGGUCUACUCUUCUGCUCGCAGGCCAGCAUCAGUCCGGGCGGUUGGAUAAAGGCCUAUUAAACGUACCUCCCCUCGGGGAGGACUUAUAGGGUAGGCGACAUGCAACCAGCCCGGAUUGAGGUCCGCGCAUCUGCUAGGAUGCUGGCGUAAUGGCUGUAAGCGGCCCGUCUUGAAACACGGACCAAGGAGUCUAACAUCUAUGCGAGUGUUUGGGUGUCAAGCCCGAGCGCGUAAUGAAAGUGAACGGAGGUGGGAACCUUUCGGGGUGCACCAUCGACCGAUCCUGAUGUCUUCGGAUGGAUUUGAGUAAGAGCAUAGCUGUUGGGACCCGAAAGAUGGUGAACUAUGCCUGAAUAGGGUGAAGCCAGAGGAAACUCUGGUGGAGGCUCGCAGCGGUUCUGACGUGCAAAUCGAUCGUCAAAUUUGGGCAUAGGGGCGAAAGACUAAUCGAACUAUCUAGUAGCUGGUUCCU